CAGGGUGUAGCUUAGUCUGGCUAAAGCGUACGGCUGGGGGCCGUGAGAUCGGAGGUUCAAAUCCUCUCACCCUGACCA
Molecule: transfer RNA, 78 nt
Filed under: Candidatus Saccharibacteria bacterium RIFCSPHIGHO2_12_FULL_48_21
Lineage: Bacteria; Candidatus Saccharimonadota
Description: tRNA-Pro
Rfam family: tRNA
About the family: Transfer RNA (tRNA) molecules are approximately 80 nucleotides in length.
Source: RNAcentral